GACGAACGCUGGCGGCGUGCUUAACACAUGCAAGUCGAACGGAAAGGCCCUGCUUUUGUGGGGUGCUCGAGUGGCGAACGGGUGAGUAACACGUGAGUAACCUGCCCUUGACUUUGGGAUAACUUCAGGAAACUGGGGCUAAUACCGGAUAGGAGCUCCUGCUGCAUGGAGGGGGUUGGAAAGUUUCGGCGGUUGGGGAUGGACUCGCGGCUUAUCAGCUUGUUGGUGGGGUAGUGGCUUACCAAGGCUUUGACGGGUAGCCGGCCUGAGAGGGUGACCGGCCACAUUGGGACUGAGAUACGGCCCAGACUCCUACGGGAGGCAGCAGUGGGGAAUAUUGCACAAUGGGCGGAAGCCUGAUGUAGCAACGCCGCGUGCGGGAUGACGGCCUUCGGGUUGUAAACCGCUUUCGCCUGUGACGAAGCGUGAGUGACGGUAAUGGGUAAAGAAGCACCGGCUAACUACGUG
This 468-nucleotide ribosomal RNA is filed under the name uncultured bacterium. RNAcentral's name for it is "partial 16S ribosomal RNA". It matches the Rfam family "Bacterial small subunit ribosomal RNA", at positions 28 to 507 of the family's 1533-position model. The record is from RNAcentral.